GGAACUCAAAGGAGACUGCCAGUGAUAAACUGGAGGAAGGUGGGGAUGACGUCAAGUCAUCAUGGCCCUUACGACCAGGGCUACACACGUGCUACAAUGGCGCAUACAAAGAGAAGCGACCUCGCGAGAGCAAGCGGACCUCAUAAAGUGCGUCGUAGUCCGGAUUGGAGUCUGCAACUCGACUCCAUGAAGUCGGAAUCGCUAGUAAUCGUGGAUCAGAAUGCCACGGUGAAUACGUUCCCGGGCCUUGUACACACCGCCCGUCACACCAUGGGAGUGAGUUGCAAAAGAAGUAGGUAGCUUAACCUUCGGGAGGGCGCUUACCACUUUGUGAUUCAUGACUGGGGUGAAGUCGUAACAAGGUAACCGUAGGGGAACCUGCGGUUGGA
RNAcentral lists this ribosomal RNA (389 nucleotides) under Escherichia coli. RNAcentral describes it as "bacterial SSU rRNA". It matches the Rfam family "Bacterial small subunit ribosomal RNA", at positions 1134 to 1522 of the family's 1533-position model. Lineage: Bacteria; Pseudomonadati; Pseudomonadota; Gammaproteobacteria; Enterobacterales; Enterobacteriaceae. The record is from RNAcentral.